RNAcentral lists this non-coding RNA (150 nucleotides) under Brevibacillus panacihumi. Its description in RNAcentral is "FMN sequence". It matches the Rfam family "FMN riboswitch aptamer (RFN element)". From Rfam's summary of the family: The RFN element is a highly conserved domain that is found frequently in the 5'-untranslated regions of prokaryotic mRNAs that encode for flavin mononucleotide (FMN) biosynthesis and transport proteins. This element is a metabolite-dependent riboswitch that directly binds FMN in the absence of proteins. The record is from RNAcentral. Lineage: Bacteria; Bacillati; Bacillota; Bacilli; Caryophanales; Paenibacillaceae. RNAcentral also lists the same sequence under 1 other name.
ACCAACCUUCAGGGUAGGGUGAAAUUCCCGACCGGCGGUAAUGACGAACGCACGUCUGAGCCCGCGACUCGCUGUCCGUAGAUGUUGGAUGGCGACUGACUUGGUGGAAUUCCAAGGCCGACGGUAAAGUCCGGAUGGGAGAAGGUAUUU